Molecule: ribosomal RNA, 465 nt
Filed under: uncultured bacterium
Lineage: Bacteria
Description: partial 16S ribosomal RNA
Rfam family: Bacterial small subunit ribosomal RNA
Source: RNAcentral
GACGAACGCUGGCGGCGUGCUUAACACAUGCAAGUCGAACGGAAAGGCCCUGCUUGCAGGGUACUCGAGUGGCGAACGGGUGAGUAACACGUGGGUGAUCUGCCCUGCACUUCGGGAUAAGCCUGGGAAACUGGGUCUAAUACCGGAUAGGAGCCAUUUUUAGUGUGAUGGUUGGAAAGUUUUUUCGGUGUAGGAUGAGCUCGCGGCCUAUCAGCUUGUUGGUGGGGUAAUGGCCUACCAAGGCGGCGACGGGUAGCCGGCCUGAGAGGGUGGACGGCCACAUUGGGACUGAGAUACGGCCCAGACUCCUACGGGAGGCAGCAGUGGGGAAUAUUGCACAAUGGGCGCAAGCCUGGUGCAGCGACGCCGCGUGGGGGAUGACGGCCUUCGGGUUGUAAACUCCUUUCGCUAGGGGCGAAGCUUUUUGUGACGGUACCUAGAUAAGAAGCACCGGCUAACUACGUG